UGAGCGAAAGCUCGACUUAGUCAAGGCCAAAAGAGCCGGUAAAACUCGUGCCAGCCACCGCGGUUAUACGAGGGGCUCAAAUUGAUAUUACACGGCGUAAAGCGUGAUUAAAAAACAAAAAAACUAAAGCCAAACACUUCCCAAGCUGUCAUACGCUACCGGAACAUAAACGAAGCCCUAUAACGAAAGUAGCUUUAACACCUUUGAACU
RNAcentral lists this ribosomal RNA (210 nucleotides) under Anguilla anguilla (European eel). Its description in RNAcentral is "partial ribosomal RNA". Lineage: Eukaryota; Metazoa; Chordata; Actinopteri; Anguilliformes; Anguillidae. The record is from RNAcentral.